CGUCACCGAUCCAACGGCCUGUCCACUACCAGGCCACGGCACCAACCCCAUCGUCAGCGGCUCGCCUGACGU
Molecule: small RNA, 72 nt
Filed under: Pseudomonas citronellolis
Lineage: Bacteria; Pseudomonadati; Pseudomonadota; Gammaproteobacteria; Pseudomonadales; Pseudomonadaceae
Description: Pseudomonas sRNA P10
Rfam family: Pseudomonas sRNA P10
Source: RNAcentral